GAUGAACGCUGGCGGCGUGCUUAACACAUGCAAGUCGAACGGUGAACACGGAGCUUGCUCUGUGGGAUCAGUGGCGAACGGGUGAGUAACACGUGAGCAACCUGCCCCGGACGCUGGGAUAAGCGCUGGAAACGGCGUCUAAUACUGGAUAUGUGACGGGACCGCAUGGUCUGCGUUUGGAAAGAUUAUUCGGUUGGGGAUGGGCUCGCGGCCUAUCAGCUUGUUGGUGAGGUAAUGGCUCACCAAGGCGUCGACGGGUAGCCGGCCUGAGAGGGUGACCGGCCACACUGGGACUGAGACACGGACCAGACUCCUACGGGAGGCAGCAGUGGGGAAUAUUGCACAAUGGGCGCAAGCCUGAUGCAGCAACGCCGCGUGAGGGAUGACGGCCUUCGGGUUGUAAACCUCUUUUAGCAGGGAAGCAGCGAAAGUGACGGUACCUGCAGAAAAAGCGCCGGCUAACUACGUG
This 469-nucleotide ribosomal RNA is filed under the name uncultured bacterium. RNAcentral describes it as "partial 16S ribosomal RNA". It matches the Rfam family "Bacterial small subunit ribosomal RNA", at positions 28 to 507 of the family's 1533-position model. The record is from RNAcentral.